RNAcentral lists this ribosomal RNA (498 nucleotides) under uncultured bacterium. Its description in RNAcentral is "bacterial SSU rRNA". It matches the Rfam family "Bacterial small subunit ribosomal RNA", at positions 1 to 518 of the family's 1533-position model. The record is from RNAcentral.
AGUAGUUGAUCAUGGCUCAGGAUGAACGCUGGCGGCACGCCUAACACAUGCAAGUCGAACGGAGUUUAUCGAAGCUUGCUUUGAUAAACUUAGUGGCGACGGGUGAGUAACACGUGAGCAACCUGCCUUUCAGAGAGGGAUAGCUUCUGGAAACGGAUGGUAAUACCUCAUAAUAUAUUGAUACGGCAUCGUAUUAAUAUCAAAGAUUUUAUCGCUGAAAGAUGGGCUCGCGUCUGAUUAGCUGGUUGGUGAGGUAACGGCCCACCAAGGCAACGAUCAGUAGCCGGACUGAGAGGUUGAACGGCCACAUUGGGACUGAGACACGGCCCAGACUCCUACGGGAGGCAGCAGUGGGGAAUAUUGCACAAUGGGCGCAAGCCUGAAUGCAGCGAUGCCGCGUGAGGGAAGAAGGUUUUCGGAUUGUAAACCUCUGUCAUCGGGGACGAAAAUGACGGUACCUGAGAAGGAAGCUCCGGCUAACUACGUGCCAGCAGCCGC